AGUCAAUAGAUACCCUGGUAGUCCACGCCGUAAACGAUGAGUACUAGGUGUAGGAGGUAUCGACUCCUUCUGUGCCGCAGUUAACACAAUAAGUACUCCGCCUGGGAAGUACGGUCGCAAGAUUAAAACUCAAAGGAAUUGACGGGGCCGGCCACAACGACAGCGGACGGCAUAGUUGGUUUAAGUUUACGUAAGACAACGACGAAGAACCUUACCUUACGACUUGUACAUCUCCUCGAAUAAGUGUAGAGAUACAUGAAGACCCUUCCGGGUCGAGGAAGGACAGGUGGUGCAUGGUUGUCGUCAGCUCGUGUCGUGAGAUGUUGGGUUAAGUUCCCGCAACGAGCGCAACCCUUACUUACUAGUUGCUACCACUUAAGUUGUAGCACUCUAGUGAGACUGCCCGGGUUAACCGGGUACGGAAGGCGGGAGUGACGUCAAAUCAUCAUGCCCCGUUACUGUCUAGGGUCAACGACACGUGCUACAAUGGUGA
RNAcentral lists this ribosomal RNA (493 nucleotides) under uncultured bacterium. RNAcentral describes it as "bacterial SSU rRNA". It matches the Rfam family "Bacterial small subunit ribosomal RNA", at positions 774 to 1236 of the family's 1533-position model. The record is from RNAcentral.